UUCAUCAUAACAUUGUAAUAUACAUCAUACACCCACUAUAUUGCUAAAUCUACACAAUUUUUUACAUCAACAGGAAAAUAUACCGGGAUAACCUGACUUCUCUUGAGACUCCCCUGCUUCAGAGCGGUUAUUGUUAAUGAUAUGCCAAUGGCCGCCCACACGUUGACGUGAUUGGUUACAAGUUGCUGUAACAGCAGAAACAUAUGUGCUCUCUCUCUGACAUCAUCUGAGCUCACUGCAUGGUCCAGCAGGAGGGUGGGGGACGCAUGUCCUUAGGUCUGAGAUCCGCAGGAGCCAAAAAUCCAUGGAGAAUGUCCAAGAGAGAGAGAGAGAGAGAGAGAAACACAGAGAGAGGACAUUCAACUUCAAUGGAAACAAGACAGUCAGAAAUAAUAGAUGGAGUGAGCAAGGGAGAGAAUGAAACAACAGAUUUUCAUGUUUUCUCCUACUGUAUAAAGACAAUCAGAUUCUUUUCAAAUAUUUUUUCUUUCUUUGCGCCCUCUCUCGCUCUCUUUUCAGCAGACAGCCUGACUCACUCCAUAAAAUCACUGAGGGCUCUGGGGUUUUGAGAGCUGGAAAAUAUUCUCUGGCUUUUUUUCCAUUAUUAAGCGACUCCUAAAACCCCAGGAUCAACAGAGAUGGAAGGGGGGAGAAGCAUAUGGAAAGGCAAUGAGAUAGUGGAGAAUUGUGGGGGUAAAUGCAUGGAACGCUUUGGUUGAUGUGUCAACGUCCGGAUAUGUUCUGAUUUACUGCCAAACAUUGUUAUUUUACAGUCCAGUUUUGCUGAAUUGCUUCAUUCAGCUGGUUGUCUCUAGGUUAGUUUGUCAGGUUACUGUGUGUGUUUAGCUUUGCAGUGAUGGAUGACUAAUUCUUUUUCCAGAAAGAUUCUUCUGUAAACACUAACAAAUACAGACACACACACAGACACACACACACAUACACACUGACCUAUCCGAAA
This is a long non-coding RNA of Megalobrama amblycephala (Wuchang bream), 958 nucleotides long. RefSeq lists it as uncharacterized. The transcript has 3 exons. NCBI's taxonomy places the organism in Eukaryota, Metazoa, Chordata, Actinopteri, Cypriniformes, Xenocyprididae. The record is from RefSeq and is a predicted model, not a curated record.